RNAcentral lists this ribosomal RNA (416 nucleotides) under uncultured Gammaproteobacteria bacterium. RNAcentral's name for it is "bacterial SSU rRNA". It matches the Rfam family "Bacterial small subunit ribosomal RNA", at positions 9 to 429 of the family's 1533-position model. The record is from RNAcentral. Lineage: Bacteria; Pseudomonadati; Pseudomonadota; Gammaproteobacteria.
GAGUUUGAUCAUGGCUCAGAUUGAACGCUGGCGGUAGGCUUAACACAUGCAAGUCGAACGUGAAAGCUCUUCGGAGCGAGUAGAGUGGCGGACGGGUGAGUAACGCGUAGGAAUCUACCUAGUAGUGGGGGACAACAUGGUGAAAACCAUGCUAAUACCGCAUACGCCCUAAGGGGGAAAGCGUGGGAUCUUCGGACCACGUGCUAUUAGAUCAGCCCGCGUUAGAUUAGCUAGUUGGUGAGGUAAAGGCUCACCAAGGCUACGAUCUAUAGCUGGUCUGAGAGGAUGACCAGCCACACUGGGACUGAGACACGGUCCAGACUCCUACGGGAGGCAGCAGUGGGGAAUUUUCUGCAAUGGGCGAAAGCCUGACAGAGCAAUACCGCGUGAGGGAAGAAAGCCCACAGGGUUGUAAA